Molecule: long non-coding RNA, 1258 nt
Organism: Hermetia illucens (black soldier fly)
Lineage: Eukaryota; Metazoa; Arthropoda; Insecta; Diptera; Stratiomyidae
Exons: 2
Source: RefSeq, a predicted model, not a curated record
UGUCCGAUUGAACGCGAAAAUUUUUAAGUGAGAGCCUCUCAAAUUCUCUAUAAGUUGCAUGAUUUUGUGCAGAACAACUUUAUCAGCGAUCCAGAGGGAGAUAGUGCCGGUAGUGGCGAACGUAUACUAUUUGGACCUUUUUAAUAAAAUAACCGUCAUCCUUUUCAUCUACCAUGAGAAAGACAAAAGUAGAAAGCAAACAGCAGCAUAAACCAACGAAUAUGUGUCAUCCUCAGCCGGACAAAUGCCAAUUUGAAUAACAUUCCCAAGAAAGCUUCGGGUGUUGAAAACCAGGUGCGACUUAUUUGCAAAGAGCUUCGAAGCUUCCGUGAAAAGGUCACCGUAUACCACCCGGAAUAUGUGGAGUUCGCUGUAGAGGAUAAAAUUGUUUUUCUUCAGCAAGGAAGACAAAAGUAGUGAUGAUUACGAACUGUAGGUAAAAUAUUAUCAAAGCAAGUGUCGGUUGAUAACAACUAGAAGUGGAAUCUAAAUUCGCCUACAGUAUGAUAUAGAAAGAAGCCAAUGCAAUUAAAAGAAUGUUGAUCUGCGUCCAGUGUAUUUAACAAUCACAAGGAAGCUUAGUGAUUAAUACAUAACUCGAACACUUGUGAAGUAUGCCAGUAUUAUAAAAGCCAGCCAGUACCAGCAGUAAAACUCGACUAUUCUAUUUUCUAUUUUAGGAAAUUUCGCUGAAUCACGUACAAAUCUACGCUCACAGAGGUGUCUAGCUAAAAAGCAAACAUUUAAUUCGUAUCUAUUAUCACUUAUAAAGAUACCUUCCGUGCCACCGCUAAUGACUAAUUUAUUUUAUUGAUUCUUGUCGAAGGUGUGCAGACCCACAAUCUACAACGUCACUCAAGGCCGAAGCAACAGGUCUGGAUGUGCAUUAUAAAUAAGAAACGAAUCACGUGAGUAAUUCAGUAAGGUAUGGGAACCUGAAUGCGAAUCUACAAGAGCCAUUCAACGACAGCGUAGUAAUUUCAAACCCGGAUCAAAUAAAGAAAUACAACUGUCCACCGUCCAUACCAUAUUAGGCUCUGUGAGACUUUGAAGAACUUUUAAUGAAAUUGUAGCUCAGGUAAUGAAAACGUACUGUCGGUGCCGUGUAGUUCAGACCAAAGUUUAUUCAAAGAAAUGUACUUAUUAUAUGUUAAAGAAUUUAUGGUAGAAUGAAGCGCGUGGCGCCACAAUUCCAUGGUAAAUUUUAAUUUCUUUCACCAUCGGAAGAAGGAAGGGAGUAAAUACAAGUUUAAUAUUC